AUGCAAUGUUGUGGGCCGUCCUUAGACGGUUUUGCUUAUUUGCCGGCGGUUGACACGAGAGGUGGGAUCAUAUUAGCCUGGGAUACCAUCGUGAUGAUUGUUGAUCACAUCACGCGCGACAUAAACUCCCUCACUGGCUUGGUGCACCCAAAGUCAGGGGACGAUUGGUGGAUCACCGUGGCCUAUGGGCCACAAGGAGAUGACCUCAAGACACUAUUCCUUGAGGAGCUGAAUGUGAGGAGAGCGGCAUGCCCGGGGCCGUGGAUGGUCCCAGGUGACUUCAACUUGAUCCUUCGAGCCUCGGAGAAAAAUAACAUGAAUCUAAAUCGGGCCAUGAUGAAUGAGUUCAGAAGUUUCGUUGAUAAUAACGAGCUGAAAGAGCUCUACAUGCAUGGACGUCGUUUCACUUGGUCAAACGAGAGAGAUGCCCCGACCAUGACCAAAAUAGACAGGAUCCUCGUUUCAGUGGAUUGGGAACUGGCGCGCCCAGAUUAUCUACUGCAGGCGCUCUCGACAAGUGUCUUUGAUCAUGCUCCGCUACACUUAUCGACCAACGCAACCUACUGGCCGAAGAAAAGGUUUCGUUUUGAGAGCUUCUGGGUUAAGCUAGAGGGUUUCGAGCAGGCUGUGAGGGAGGCCUGGGUUUGUGUGUUGGGG
This 657-nucleotide ribosomal RNA is filed under the name Triticum aestivum (bread wheat). RNAcentral's name for it is "partial small subunit ribosomal RNA". Lineage: Eukaryota; Viridiplantae; Streptophyta; Magnoliopsida; Poales; Poaceae. The record is from RNAcentral.